Molecule: ribosomal RNA, 359 nt
Filed under: uncultured bacterium
Lineage: Bacteria
Description: bacterial SSU rRNA
Rfam family: Archaeal small subunit ribosomal RNA
Source: RNAcentral
AGUGAAUAGAUACCCAGGUAGUCCCAGCUGUAAACUAUGCUCGCUAGGUGUCAGGGGACGGUGCGACCGUUUCUGGUGCCGCAGGGAAGCCGUGAAGCGAGCCACCUGGGAAGUACGGUCGCAAGGCUGAAACUUAAAGGAAUUGGCGGGGGAGCACUACAACGGGUGGAGCCUGCGGUUUAAUUGGACUCAACGCCGGAAACUCACCGGGGGCGACAGCAAUAUGUAGGUCAAGCUAAAGACUUUACCAGAAUCGCUGAGAGGAGGUGCAUGGCCGUCGUCAGUUCGUACUGUGAAGCAUCCUGUUAAGUCAGGCAACGAGCGAGACCCGUGCCCACUGUUGCCAGCAUGUCCUGGUA